UCUUCCCAUUCCGAACAGAGCCGUUAAGCCUGCCCGCGCCGAUGGUACUGCAAUGUAAUGCGGGAGAGUAGGUCGCCGCCUUCU
RNAcentral lists this ribosomal RNA (84 nucleotides) under Prevotella illustrans. Lineage: Bacteria; Pseudomonadati; Bacteroidota; Bacteroidia; Bacteroidales; Prevotellaceae. The record is from RNAcentral.